GCAAGUCGAACGAUGAACCACUUCGGUGGGGAUUAGUGGCGAACGGGUGAGUAACACGUGGGCAAUCUGCCCUGCACUCUGGGACAAGCCCUGGAAACGGGGUCUAAUACCGGAUACUGACCCUCACGGGCAUCUGUGAGGUUCGAAAGCUCCGGCGGUGCAGGAUGAGCCCGCGGCCUAUCAGCUUGUUGGUGAGGUAAUGGCUCACCAAGGCGACGACGGGUAGCCGGCCUGAGAGGGCGACCGGCCACACUGGGACUGAGACACGGCCCAGACUCCUACGGGAGGCAGCAGUGGGGAAUAUUGCACAAUGGGCGAAAGCCUGAUGCAGCGACGCCGCGUGAGGGAUGACGGCCUUCGGGUUGUAAACCUCUUUCAGCAGGGAAGAAGCGAAAGUGACGGUACCUGCAGAAGAAGCGCCGGCUAACUACGUGCCAGCAGCCGCGGUAAUACGUAGGGCGCGAGCGUUGUCCGGAAUUAUUGGGCGUAAAGAGCUCGUAGGCGGCUUGUCACGUCGGUUGUGAAAGCCCGGGGCUUAACCCCGGGUCUGCAGUCGAUACGGGCAGGCUAGAGUUCGGUAGGGGAGAUCGGAAUUCCUGGUGUAGCGGUGAAAUGCGCAGAUAUCAGGAGGAACACCGGUGGCGAAGGCGGAUCUCUGGGCCGAUACUGACGCUGAGGAGCGAAAGCGUGGGGAGCGAAC
This 700-nucleotide ribosomal RNA is filed under the name Streptomyces sp. SAUK6064. RNAcentral describes it as "bacterial SSU rRNA". It matches the Rfam family "Bacterial small subunit ribosomal RNA", at positions 57 to 773 of the family's 1533-position model. The record is from RNAcentral. Lineage: Bacteria; Bacillati; Actinomycetota; Actinomycetes; Kitasatosporales; Streptomycetaceae.